RNAcentral lists this long non-coding RNA (250 nucleotides) under Arabidopsis lyrata. Its description in RNAcentral is "long non-coding RNA (ALYR_LNC003338)". Lineage: Eukaryota; Viridiplantae; Streptophyta; Magnoliopsida; Brassicales; Brassicaceae. The record is from RNAcentral.
ACAGCCUUUGGUCUUACUUUUUCCCGAAGACGACAUGACAACAAGACCUCCAUCUUUUGUUCCCGCCGUCUCUCCUUUUUUGGCAUCAUCUCUCGGAGGUGAUGACAUCGGCUCCUCCUCCUUGCGGCACAUGUAACACAAGAGAAGACCCAUCGCGAUGGCCUAGUAACAAAGGAUUAAUUAUAAUGGCAAUGAAUCAAUGAUACUUAUGAACUUUUUGUCUUUAAAUUUUUCUGAAAAUGUAAUGAUG